Long non-coding RNA from Corvus hawaiiensis (hawaiian crow), 5173 nucleotides. RefSeq lists it as uncharacterized. The record is from RefSeq and is a predicted model, not a curated record. Lineage: Eukaryota; Metazoa; Chordata; Aves; Passeriformes; Corvidae. The transcript is spliced from 2 exons.
CGCAGUCCGGCUGGGUUCCUGCUAAACUGCAUGACAGCUUGCAAAGGGCAGGCAGCUACGGGGCUGCUUCCAGGACCGACCUCGAAAGAUUUCAGUCGGAAAAGAGCUGGGAUGUUCUUGGCAGUGCCCAAGAAAACUUUUCUUGAGAGCAGCUGCCUGGGCACAGGGAAGGAGCUAGGAUGGCCGCCCGGUCAGGCUGGCACAGAGAGGCCUGCUCAGCCACAGGAGGGGCCCAGGGGCUGGUGUGUCAUCACUAAACCCUCAGUGAUGGGGAGCCAAGCUUUACCUCCAGCCCCAGGCUCUGCACAGUGAGAUGUCUCCUGGAGACCCAGCAGUGGCAAAUCAGAUUCAGUGCCACAAACAGGGUCAAGAACAAAUGUUUGGCUGCCCAUGAACUGCUUGGAGGAAAAGGCAGCAGCGAGAUAAGGUUAUUGUGGGGAUUGGAUCCUGCCCUCAGGGCCACAGUUGGCCCAGGCACAGCCAGAGAACACAGCCAGCAUUGUCCAUCCUUCAAGCCACAACCACCGCGCAGAGCACAUGUUGUCUGAACUAAUGGGUCUUCGUAGGAUCCUUCUGGUUGAGAGAUGAUAUCACAGAUUGUAUCUCUGUCCACUUUUGGUCUGGGCUGUUGCUAAGAGAAAAACAAUUCUUGGCAAAUUCCUCGAAGUGCUUGCCUCCUACAGUUUGGAUGAAGACAGUUUGUUCAAGAAAGAUGGGUAGGUGUGAGUUUCUGUCUUUUCCCCUCCUGAGAAUUGUUUUUGCCAGUGCAGAACUGAAGAUGAUAAUGCUCCCAUUAAAAAUGAGGUGAACGCUCAGGCUAACAUGAAUGGGUGGAAAGGAUUUCAAACAGGAUGAAUCUGGGGACAAACCCACCCUUGCCAAGACAAACAGCUGCAGAGAUCUCUGGAAAGAAAAAGGGCACUGCUGUUCAAAAUGAUUCAGUCACACAGGGCUGGUUGAGGCUGUGUAUCCAUCCGUUUGUAGCGAAAACCAAUGGCUUUCAUAUGAAGAAAGAAAAGGUACAUCAUACGUCACACAAGAGGACUGGAGAACUGAUAUCAUUAGGACAACAAACUGAUACUCCAUAGGACAAUAGAGAUAUGGGCUGAGCACAAAGCAGAAAGCUCUCACUCUCCUUCCUACAUCUGUCUUUCAUUUGCUUUGCCUCUAUCUGCCUGUUGUUGAUGUUUUCUCACAUUGUCUUGGUCCCUUUGUUCAAACUGCAUUUCAUUCCAGGAAGGCAGGGAGCUCCAGGUGUGACUGAGGGCUGUGAGCAUGAACUCGCUGCCGCAGUUAUUAUUGUUAUCAUUCCUCUGAAAACCAGCCUGGUGGAGGUUUGGCUCGGUGUAAUUUGUUCUGCUGUUUUAACUGUAUCCUUGUUAAAUGUGGAAAAGGGAAUGAAGUGCACUGCUUUGCACGAUGGCUUGCACCCAAAGGUGCAGCCUUAGCUAAUGAAGUGCUGGCAUACUGUGCAGCAAGAUGUUUGAGAUUGCAGACUGAGACCUGCUGCUCAAAUGAAUCAGGUGUUCAGGACUCACUGCUCUUCUUUGUAAUGGGAGGAACUGCAUGUUAAAAAAGCCAAUAUAGACUUUGCAAUGUUCUAUAAAGUUUCAACAUUUUUUAUUUUAAGACCCCAGUGAUAUUCAGUAAUUGUAUUCCCACCAUCCAGCUAUUUAGCAAUCUAAACACAUACUAUUUUUCCCAUUACUAUUGUUUUCAUUACUGGCAGUAGACUUGUGGAAGUCUGGUUAUUUUUGUCUUUGGACACUCCCUGUGUACAUCUAACAGCACAGAUAUUUUAAUACAUUUUUCAGUGGUUCCCUCUGCUCCAGUUGAGCCCCUGGAGAAGUUAUGGAGCCCCUUUGUGUGUGUUGGAUGAAGACCUCUCUGGGAUGAGUCUGGAGCAGACAACUGCCAUAAUGUUAAGCUCAACUCCAGCUUUCCCCCAGUCUGGCUUGAUGUGUUCAGUGCCUCCACAAUCAGGUGCAGCUCAGCCCUGAUUCAGUGGGGAUUAAGUGCACAAGCAAUGGUGUGUUUUCCCUCAGAUGUGCUGCCUCAAAUACAUUUGCCAGGGCCAGGGAUAGCCCAUGGCUGGACCACACAGACUCUCCAGAUGGGCUGACACUCCAAAGACAGGAUGGCAAGCAGCUUUGGCAGUCUGGUUGGUACUUCAAUAGAUAGACUCUUUUUAGCUUUGUUUUUCAAGAGUUUCCCUUCUAUUUUGCAACAGGCCCUUCCUGUGCCAUGUUUGGCUCAUUCAAACCAGCUCCAGUGUUUAUAACUCCCACUGCAUUUCCUACGGUGGAUAUUUCUAAACCAGCUUUGCUGGUGGAGUCCUCUCCAAAUGGUGUGUUAAAGACCAAAUGAUUUAGCACAUAAUUAAGAAGUAAACAAUGAUCAGCAAGAAAUCUGCAGCGUCAGCUACAAGGCAUGGCUUGGAUGCAAGAAAAAGCAAUAUGCCAAGAAAAAUGAGUAAAUCUCUGUGUCUCUGUAUCUUGAUGUGGAGAGGGAAUGGAGUAGCUAGAAGGAAAGAGCUUGGUUCUGCUUUCUCUAUGUUUCAUCCCAUGUUGGUGUUGGGCAUAAAAGAAGCAGCAUGCCUAAGUUCCACAAACAGAAUGUUCCUUUUUUUCAGUGGUUUCAGUAAUUUUUCAGCUUUUAGUGCAAAGGAAAGAAUCAAGACACACGAGAUUAUUGUGCUAUGGAUUUAUAAUAACAUUUUAUUAAUAUAUUAUGCUACAAAAAUAUUUUGAUAAAAUAAUAUUAGAAAGCAUCUUUUUAUUACACUCUUCAAAACAGUUCACAAAAGCAGGAGGCGGAACAGGAAAAAAUAUCUGAAAUACAUUUGAAUUGAAAACUGACAAAGAACGCAAUUUGAAUUUCAGUGUGAGCAUGAAUCUGCAGGAUGGUUAAUCAGUCCUGUAGAAGGAAAGUAUUGACUACUUAUUGCAAAGACCUCUCUGCCUUUAUCUAGAUUAAGGUGCCUCCUGAAAUGUUAGUCACAGGAAAGGCUGAAUUUGGGUUGGGACAGAACACACACAACGCACACAUUUAAAUGUAUACACACAUACCCCCCUAUGAUCUCAAACGUCAGCAAAUUAUCCUUCUUCUUCAGUUAAGUUAAAACAUGCUUAAAUUGAAGCUGAGUUUUAGCACACUCCAUGGAACAUUGAUCACUUCAGAGAUAUGACAAGACCAUAUAACUUUUGGAUACAAUACAGAAAUACGGUACUAAGCAAAGUUUGGCAUGGUAACAUUUAUGCUGAGAUAAUAACUUUGGCACUUUGGUUUCUCUAACAUAAAUACAUGAUGGGAAAUUCCUCCCUAACAGUGGUAUAUGGUAAUGACUGAGUCAUAUCAUUUGACUAAUCAAUGCACUAAACAGAGAUUAAGUUCUCCCUCUUUCCAUCUCCCUCUUUCUCCACAACCGUAUAUUGAAGAACUAAGAUAAAUAUACAACUCUGUGCCUUGGGUGUUCCUAAAUUACAGUGGAGGUUGGAGGAAUGGGAAGAGAAGUUCAACAAAGCAGAUUUUUGACACCUGUAUAAAGCAUAGUUAUCAUAAAUCAUGUUCAUCAUUUAUUGCCAGAAGACAUAUUGCAUUAUUCAACAGCUCGAGGGAUUGCAGAGAAAUUACAUCAGUCAUAAAAUAUAAAAUACCUUCUGUCCCAGCUUACUGACUGGUUCUCCAAGUGGCAGUGCAUGUUAAUAUAGUAUCUGUAGUUAAGCGAGAAAAGCAUCAAAACACUGAAAGAGGAGAAAUUAGAUUUGUUGCUGAUGAUAUGGGAUUAUUUAUCCCACCAGGGCAAGACCUUGGCAGAUAUUCAGCAUUUGUUUAUAAUGCUACAGUUACAUUUAAAAUGAAUUGUGUUGGUGUCAGUUGUAGCUGAGUUGAGAAAAUGAAUCAUGCGACCAUUGAGCUUUGGAUUCAUCCAAAGUCAUGUUCUAGACUGCCAGACACUGGGUGACUCUUGAUGGUGUUUCUCAGAGAUAAGCUGUUAUAUGUAGUGGGCAUGAAUAUUUUUGUUAAAUCUCCUGCCUUUGGAAUCUUGUGAUUACAUGGGAAUUUGAGCUUUCCUUCAGAAGAAAGAAAACAGUUGGUUUUUAGUUUUCUGAGAAACCCACAGAGGAAAUUGAAGUCCCCUGAAGCUGGUAGUCAGUGUUGCUUCCAGAGCACGUAUCAAAUCUGGUCCAGUUUCUAAACUCAUGGUUUAGAAAACCAUUAGAAAUUCAGAAAUCAUGAUCCAUUGCAAUGGGUGUGCAUAGGUCUGUGCUAACCAGUACUACUGUGCUUUAAUGAAUGCUGAUUAGUAAACAACCCAUUUUAUCAACCACAGUGAGGGUUCAUUAUCCAACAUUGGUCUGCAUACAGGUCAUGUAUUGAAGAAAGUGACCCAAAGUCAUAUUUUAGGGUAAGAUGAGAAUAAAAGAUGUGUUUGGUUAGAGAGCUGUGCUGAAGUCAUUCACGUGGGGCUCCUGAGCUACAAUCUACAGAAACCUACUCAACCUUUAAGUCAUGAGCCAGAGACAGCUCAGAUGACUGAGGCAGCUGCUUCUAGGUGGCAAAAAUCAGGUGUGUAGACCCCAGAUCCAAGAGACACCUUGUUUCGACACCUGCACUGCACAAAUGUGGGGCACCAGCACAAGGGUUCCAGUAAAAUUUAUUAAUUUCCCAGAAUUACAGACAAAAUCCCAGGAAAUGCAAAGAUGUUAAAACAUACUUCAAUAUCCAAGCCAUUUACAUCCUGUGAUAGCCAAACAUACCACAGUAUCUGAGCUAAUGAAUAUUGAAUAUUACUGUCCAGUGCAGGAGGAACUCCAAAAACCUUGCUGGUGACAAAAGAGUGACUAUUCUGUGCAGCACGAUAACAGCUGGGAGUGUGGAGAGAUUUGUGUGCUCCUAAUAUUAAAAAAAAAAAGCUCCACAGCUUUAUGGAGAAAGCCACAGAUAGGGAAACUUCAGAACUGUAAUUUCUAGUCUUGAUCCUGUUUGUUUUCCUUACAGUCUUGGACAAGUUGUUUCUGUUUUCUGCUUUUUUUCCUCUCCCUUAUCUUUACAUGGUCUUGUCUAUUUAUACAGUAGGUUUUCCAACACCUGGAAUUAUUCCUGGGAUAGUACCACAGAAUAAUUUCUGGAUACGAUUCGGUUACAACAAAUAAAAUUCAAUGGGUUUUGG